AGAGUUUGAUCCUGGCUCAGAUUGAACGCUGGCGGCAUGCCUUACACAUGCAAGUCGAACGGCAGCGCGGGAGCAAUCCUGGCGGCGAGUGGCGAACGGGUGAGUAAUACAUCGGAACGUGCCCAAUCGUGGGGGAUAACGCAGCGAAAGCUGUGCUAAUACCGCAUACGAUCUACGGAUGAAAGCAGGGGAUCGCAAGACCUUGCGCGAAUGGAGCGGCCGAUGGCAGAUUAGGUAGUUGGUGAGGUAAAGGCUCACCAAGCCUUCGAUCUGUAGCUGGUCUGAGAGGACGACCAGCCACACUGGGACUGAGACACGGCCCAGACUCCUACGGGAGGCAGCAGUGGGGAAUUUUGGACAAUGGGCGAAAGCCUGAUCCAGCCAUGCCGCGUGCAGGAUGAAGGCCUUCGGGUUGUAAACUGCUUUUGUACGGAACGAAACGGCCUUUUCUAAUAAAGAGGGCUAAUGACGGUACCGUAAGAAUAAGCACCGGCUAACUACGUGCCAGCAGCCGCGGUAAUACGUAGGGUGCAAGCGUUAAUCGGAAUUACUGGGCGUAAAGCGUGCGCAGGCGGUUAUGUAAGACAGUUGUGAAAUCCCCGGGCUCAACCUGGGAACUGCAUCUGUGACUGCAUAGCUAGAGUACGGUAGAGGGGGAUGGAAUUCCGCGUGUAGCAGUGAAAUGCGUAGAUAUGCGGAGGAACACCGAUGGCGAACGCAAUCCCCUGGACCUGUACUGACGCUCAUGCACGAAAGCGUGGGGAGCAAACAGGAUUAGAUACCCUGGUAGUCCACGCCCUAAACGAUGUCAACUGGUUGUUGGGUCUUCACUGACUCAGUAACGAAGCUAACGCGUGAAGUUGACCGCCUGGGGAGUACGGCCGCAAGGUUGAAACUCAAAGGUAUUGACGGGGACCCGCACAAGCGGUGGAUGAUGUGGUUUAAUUCGAUGCAACGCGAAAAACCUUACCCACCUUUGACAUGUACGGAAUUCGCCAGAGAUGGCUUAGUGCUCGAAAGAGAACCGUAACACAGGUGCUGCAUGGCUGUCGUCAGCUCGUGUCGUGAGAUGUUGGGUUAAGUCCCGCAACGAGCGCAACCCUUGUCAUUAGUUGCUACAUUCAGUUGGGCACUCUAAUGAGACUGCCGGUGACAAACCGGAGGAAGGUGGGGAUGACGUCAAGUCCUCAUGGCCCUUAUAGGUGGGGCUACACACGUCAUACAAUGGCUGGUACAAAGGGUUGCCAACCCGCGAGGGGGAGCUAACCCCAUAAAACCAGUCGUAGUCCGGAUCGCAGUCUGCAACUCGACUGCGUGAAGUCGGAAUCGCUAGUAAUCGUGGAUCAGAAUGUCACGGUGAAUACGUUCCCGGGUCUUGUACACACCGCCCGUCACACCAUGGGAGCGGGUUCUGCCAGAAGUAGUUAGCUUAACCGCAAGGAGGGCGAUUACCACGGCAGGGUUCGUGACUGGGGUGAAGUCGUAACAAGGUAACCGUAUCGGAAGGUGCGGCUG
Molecule: ribosomal RNA, 1515 nt
Filed under: metagenome
Description: bacterial SSU rRNA
Rfam family: Bacterial small subunit ribosomal RNA
Source: RNAcentral